This is an RNA transcript of Physeter macrocephalus (sperm whale), 4172 nucleotides long. It is a transcript of the gene named BCL2 interacting protein 2, with no coding region annotated. The transcript is spliced from 11 exons. The record is from RefSeq and is a predicted model, not a curated record. NCBI's taxonomy places the organism in Eukaryota, Metazoa, Chordata, Mammalia, Artiodactyla, Physeteridae.
GACCUUGGCUCUCUGGAUUAUCAGGAGCUUGUAGUUGACAUUGAGUCCAGGCUGAGGAUGGAAGGUGUUGAACUUAAGGAAGAAUGGCAAGAUGAAGAUUUUCCAAUACCUUUACCGGAAGAUGAUAGUAUUGAAGCAGAUAUUUUAGCUGUAACUGGACGAGAGAGUCAGCCCGGCUCACUAGAAGUUAAUGGCAAUAAAGUGAGAAAGAAACUAAUGGCUCCUGACAUUAGCCUAACCCUGGAUCCUAGUGAUGGCUCUGUGUUGUCAGAUGAUUUGGAUGAAAGUGGGGAGAUUGACUUAGAUGACUUAGAUACACCAUCGGAGGACAGUAAUGAAUUUGAGUGGGAAGAUGAUCUUCCGAAACCCAAGACUACUGAAGUUAUUAGGAAAGGCUCAAUUACUGAAUAUACAGCAGCAGAGGAAAAAGAAGAUGGACGACGCUGGCGUAUGUUCAGAAUUGGAGAACAGGACCACAGGGUUGAUAUGAGAGCAAUUGAACCCUAUAAAAAAGUUAUCAGCCACGGAGGAUAUUAUGGGGAUGGAUUAAAUGCCAUUGUUGUGUUUGCUGUCUGUUUUAUGCCUGAAAGUGGUCAACCUAACUAUAGAUACCUGAUGGACAAUCUCUUUAAGUACGUUAUUGGCACUUUGGAGCUGUUAGUAGCAGAAAACUACAUGAUCGUUUAUUUAAAUGGUGCAACAACUCGAAGAAAAAUGCCCAGUCUGGGAUGGCUCAGGAAAUGCUAUCAACAAAUUGAUAGAAGGUUACGGAAAAACCUAAAGUCUUUAAUCAUUGUACAUCCCUCUUGGUUUAUCAGAACACUUCUGGCUGUUACAAGACCAUUUAUUAGCUCAAAAUUCAGCCAAAAAAUUAGAUACGUCUUUAAUUUGGCAGAACUAGCGGAACUUGUCCCCAUGGAAUAUGUUGGAAUACCAGAAUGCAUAAAACAGUAUGAAGAAGAAAAGUUAAAAAAGAAACAGAAAAGAGUUGAUCAAGAGCUUAAUGGAAAACAAGAUGAACCGAAAAGUGAACAGUAAGUUUGGCAUCUAGUCCAAACACGACUGAAGAAUGUGCUGAUGAAGCAGUGCUUUUUUGCAUUUAUAAUGCAUUUAUUGGUCCUGAUUUUUAUGUAACCUGUUACAAAACUGACUUGACUUCUUCUUAAUGGACUUUUGUAUAAGGGACUGUUCACUGCUGUACUGGUUUGCAGAUCUCUUGAAUUUAGCUCUUUACUAGCUAAUUAUAUUGUAAUCAUUUUAUAUUUUAUAUUGCUAAAUAGCAGAGCACCACACUUUAUAUAAAGCAGUUUUUGCAUUUGUUUAUUAAAUGAUGCAUUUUCUUCAGUAAAAUAUUUAUAUGCCUAAAUGGAAAAGGAAAGAGAUAAUAUAUAUUUUUAUGUUUUUGAGCAAUAUUUUUUAAUGUAUACCUUUCUUAUGGAAGAAUAUGCAGGUAAAUAAGACCAUGAUUUUGUAAAAUGCAUGUUAAAAUUUUUGUUUUUGUAAAUGGUUAAGUACACUUCCUGGGUCACUUAGAAAAUAUGCUCAUAAGGUGAGGGACAGUUAAACUGGUUCUCAUGAAUACCCAAAGGUCAUAUACAUAAUCUAAGUAGAUUAGUACCAUUCUGAGUUUUUUUCUCUCUUAACAUUUAUUUCUUAAUUCAGACACAAAUACAGGUGUAUUGCACACUUUUUUUUUUAAACAUAAAGACAAGUCAAAAAGCCAUUUUUAGAAUUAGAGAAUUUAAGAGGUUAAGAAUUGGGGUUUGUAUAUAUGUAUAUAUCAGACAUUUUAUCUUCUGGCCAAAAGUCAGAAGCUCAUAAAAAUUUUAGGUUUGUUCACUAAUGUGAAAUAAGCUGUGUGUCCAGGGUAUCACUCUCCUGAAUUUGUGUGAGUACAGUGUAAUAUUCAGAGAAUGUGAUGAGUUAUUCACUGUCACUACUUUUCUUUAGAAAAUAGGGGCUGCUUUUUUAACUACUUUCAAUGUGGGCACUUUACCAAAAUACUUUCAUAUCAGGUGUUUGACCCAGUCAGAUAAGGUGUGUUUUCCCAUUUUCUGUUGAAUUAUGUUGACAGUACUGUAAAUUAAGUUAUUUUGUAAGUCUUAGAGCAUCAUCAUAUUAUGGUGUUUUGCGUUUGGUGUAAGCAUAAAACUCUUUGUUUAAUUUGGUAAGUACCUUGACUCUACAUUGAAAUUGUAUUUAUGCCCCAGAUGGAACUUAAUUACCCACAAAAUCAUACAAAAACAACAGGUUGGUCUAAUACUGUGUCAUAUACUUGUGUGACUUAUACAUUUGGUAAACUUAGUACCUGCCUGAUUUAAGGGUCACACCACACUCCAGCCCUUCUUAUAAGGUAAUUUACAAAAGAGUAGUAAAAUUGAGGUGCAGGAGCUAAACCUCUAGGAUUUAUUCUAUCCUAGACUGGCUUUUAUCAUUGCUGUUUUUAGUGUAAAGUUUUCUAUUACAAAAGAGAAUUUCCUUUACUUUUUGUCCUCCUCAGUCAUAAACUUGACACAGUAACCCAAGUCCAAUUAUGGCAGAUGCUGGAGGAUUCCCAGGAUGAAACUUUCUUCAGCAGCCUCCUGACUUCACUUGGAUCCAGCUGCUGUAGGCAGAUCCUGAACUAAUGUCAUUAUAGUCAAUAAAGCUAAAACCAUUAUUGCUUGCUCAGAUCUUAGAAAUACUUUGUGUUCAAAAAGCAAACUAACAGUAACAGUUUAGGCAUUCCUUCUGAACUUACGAAUAAAAGAUCAUAUUGAAUUUAAUUGUGAUUAGAGUCUAUAUUUGUAGAGUGCUUUCAGUGACCUUUCAUCAGUAAAAGUAGUCUUUCAUCUAUAAAUUUGUGUCUCAGUCAAACCUGGCUGAGCUUUUUAAAUAGGUGGCUUUCCUCUACAUUAAGUACCCAGUUCUUCAGUUUCAACACGUUACUGUUUAUUGACUUUUGCAUUUGCAAGCAUUGUCCCUGAUUAUAGAUACAACUCGUUGCAAAAGUGGCGCAUUUUCCUACAUAUUUUUUUAAAGUAGAGGUAGCCUAUAUUCUAUGAGAACAUUAAAAUUUAGAGGGAACGGUGGUAACAUUUGGGAUAUAACCAAAGGGAUUUGCUGUGAAUCACUAGAUUUAAAAGGAUACCUGUUCUAACCUAUAGCUUGAUGAAAUCUGGUAUAGGGACAUGCCCUGUAAUGUUUCAUAGCUAUGAGACUUAAGAUCAUAACAAGUAGGUCAGAGGAAAAGCAUUUAUUAAACUGGUUAUUUGUAAUUACUAGCUAUGUGACAUUUUCUCCAUAUCAUUCAGUUUUAAUUUUCCAUUACUGAUUGAGGUGAAAGUACAUAUAACUGUUAUUUUAUCUUUCUGCUGGGAUCAUGGUUCUAACUUGUUUAAUUUGAUGCUUAUGCCACUAUUUUUUGUUGUGUUUGGGUUCUGAGUGCCUCUUUUUAGUCAAAAGUUUCUCUUAUAAAGUAAUCUGAUUGUGUUCUGCUUGGUCAUAUUCCUUAUUAGCACCAAGGGAAGACACUAUAUUUAUCCCACAGUUUAAGCUUAAUAAUAGUCUUUAACUGGGGGUGGGGGGAGUAUAAAGAAAUAUGAUUCCAAGUAGGGCCUAGCAGGACCUGGAAAGGAAGAUAACAAAACAAGGAAGUAAGAGAAAGAAAACUAUAAAGGGAUAAUGAGUUAGCUAAGAUUCCACUGAAUGUGUCCUUGUUAAGGGAAGUGCUGUAUAUGGCAGCGGUUGGUACCAUUUCUUGUAUCAAUCAGGAAAACCUGCAGGCUGCAUACAGAAUAUGUGAAUAAGGAGACUGUGGAGAGGAGGGGGCAAAGGCUGAUAAUACUUACAAUGAAAAUUCAUAUUUUCCUCUGCUUUGUCUCUUCAUACAAAAGCAAGUUUAAACAGGGAGAGUCAGCAAUUACAAUGCUCAGAUUAAAGUGUAGGGUUACGUUACUUUUGACAUUCAUAGCUGGUAAACAUUUAAUGUAUUGUUCCAAAAUGGACAUCACUCUUUAGUAACUAUACUGAAUACUGAAAUUUGCUGAUUGACAGGUAUAUAUAGGUUGCUAGACUUUCUUCAGCUGCAAUUCCAGAAUUUAAAAAGCGAACCUGGUGAAUUACUUGGGAGCUAAACCUGUUUAGCGGCCUGAGGCUUGGAAACUGCGGCCCCACGCUCCUCCCUCCACAUC